RNAcentral lists this ribosomal RNA (734 nucleotides) under uncultured bacterium. Its description in RNAcentral is "bacterial SSU rRNA". It matches the Rfam family "Bacterial small subunit ribosomal RNA", at positions 28 to 755 of the family's 1533-position model. The record is from RNAcentral.
AUUGAACGCUGGCGGCAUGCCUUACACAUGCAAGUCGAACGGCAGCACGGGGGCAACUCUGGUGGCGAGUGGCGAACGGGUGAGUAAUAUAUCGGAACGUACCUACUAGUGGGGGACAACGGGUCGAAAGGCUCGCUAAUACCGCAUACGAUCUAGGGAAGAAAGCAGGGGAUUCGCAAGGACCUUGCGCUAGUAGAGCGGCCGAUAUCUGAUUAGCUAGUUGGCGGGGUAAAGGCCCACCAAGGCGACGAUCCGUAGCUGGUCUGAGAGGAUGAUCAGCCACACUGGGACUGAGACACGGCCCAGACUCCUACGGGAGGCAGCAGUGGGGAAUAUUGGACAAUGGGGGCAACCCUGAUCCAGCAAUGCCGCGUGUGUGAAGAAGGCCUUCGGGUUGUAAAGCACUUUUAUCUGGAACGAAACACGCAGGGUGAAUAUCCCUGCGGACUGACGGUACCAGAGGAAUAAGCACCGGCUAACUUCGUGCCAGCAGCCGCGGUAAUACGAAGGGUGCAAGCGUUACUCGGAAUUACUGGGCGUAAAGCGUGCGUAGGUGGUUUCUUAAGUCUGCUGUGAAAGCCCCGGGCUCAACCUGGGAAUUGCAGUGGAUACUGGGGAGCUAGAGUGCGGUAGAGGGUAGUGGAAUUCCCGGUGUAGCGGUGAAAUGCGUAGAGAUCGGGAGGAACACCAGUGGCGANNNCGGCUACCUGGACCAGCACUGACACUGAGGCACG